Apodemus sylvaticus (European woodmouse) is the source of this 133-nucleotide small nucleolar RNA. RefSeq annotates it as small nucleolar RNA SNORA17. The transcript has a single exon. The record is from RefSeq and is a predicted model, not a curated record. Lineage: Eukaryota; Metazoa; Chordata; Mammalia; Rodentia; Muridae.
CCUGCCCCUAGAGACAUUACAAAUGUGGCUGCUGUGUCACAUGUGUGUCAGUAGGUGACAGAGAGGAAAGAGGCUAUGUGUAAGUUCAGUGUUCAGAGAACAUCUAAAUGAUGAGUAGUAGUAGCCUACCAUU